UUCUCCUGCUGUGUGAGUCCUGAGC
Molecule: non-coding RNA, 25 nt
Filed under: Cricetulus griseus (Chinese hamster)
Lineage: Eukaryota; Metazoa; Chordata; Mammalia; Rodentia; Cricetidae
Source: RNAcentral